Molecule: ribosomal RNA, 406 nt
Filed under: uncultured bacterium
Lineage: Bacteria
Description: partial 16S ribosomal RNA
Rfam family: Bacterial small subunit ribosomal RNA
Source: RNAcentral
AUUGAACGCUGGCGGCAGGCUUAACACAUGCAAGUCGAGCGAGCGGCGGACGGGUGAGUAAUGUCUGGGAAACUGCCCGCUGGAGGGGGAUAACUACUGGAAACGGUAGCUAAUACCGAAUAAUAGCAGAUGUGCCCAGAUGGGAUUAGCUAGUAGGUGGGGUAAUGGCUCACCUAGGCGACGAUCCCUAGCUGGUCUGAGAGGAUGACGAGGCACUCUGGAACUGUGUCACGGUCCAGACUCCGCCGGACGGCAGCAGUGUGGAAUAUGGCACAAUGGUCGCAAGCCUUAUGCAGCCAUGGCGCUUGUGUGAAGAAGGCCUUGGGGUUGUAAAGCACUUUCAGCGUGUAGGCGUUACUCGCAUAAGAAGCACCGGCUAACUCCGUGCCAGCAGCCGCGGUAAUAC